UAGGGAAUCUUCGGCAAUGGACGGAAGUCUGACUGAGCAACGCCGCGUGAGUGAAGAAGGUUUUCGGAUCGUAAAGCUCUGUUGUUAGAGAAGAACGUUGGUAGGAGUGGAAAAUCUACCAAGUGACGGUAACUAACCAGAAAGGGACGGCUAACUACGUGCCAGCAGCCGCGGUAAUACGUAGGUCCCGAGCGUUGUCCGGAUUUAUUGGGCGUAAAGCGAGCGCAGGCGGUUCUUUAAGUCUGAAGUUAAAGGCAGUGGCUUAACCAUUGUACGCUUUGGAAACUGGAGUACUUGAGUGCAGAAGGGGAGAGUGUAAUUCCAUGUGUAGCGGUAAAAUGCGUAGAUAUAUUGAGGAACACCGGUGGCGAAAGCGGCUCUCUGGUCUGUAACUGACGCUGAGGCUCGAAAGCGUUGGGAGCAACCAGG
This 429-nucleotide ribosomal RNA is filed under the name Bacillota bacterium. RNAcentral describes it as "Firmicutes bacterium partial 16S ribosomal RNA". It matches the Rfam family "Bacterial small subunit ribosomal RNA", at positions 355 to 776 of the family's 1533-position model. The record is from RNAcentral. Lineage: Bacteria; Bacillati; Bacillota.